RNAcentral lists this ribosomal RNA (462 nucleotides) under uncultured bacterium. RNAcentral's name for it is "partial 16S ribosomal RNA". It matches the Rfam family "Bacterial small subunit ribosomal RNA", at positions 28 to 507 of the family's 1533-position model. The record is from RNAcentral.
GAUGAACGCUGGCGGCGUGCUUAACACAUGCAAGUCGAACGGUGAAGCCCUUCGGGGUGGAUCAGUGGCGAACGGGUGAGUAACACGUGAGCAACCUGCCCCUGGCUCUGGGACAACCACUGGAAACGGUGGCUAAUACCGGAUACGACCCGCCUCGGCAUCGAGUGUGGGUGGAAAGUUUUUCGGCUGGGGAUGGGCUCGCGGCCUAUCAGCUUGUUGGUGAGGUGAAGGCUCACCAAGGCGACGACGGGUAGCCGGCCUGAGAGGGCGACCGGCCACACUGGGACUGAGACACGGCCCAGACUCCUACGGGAGGCAGCAGUGGGGAAUAUUGCACAAUGGGCGAAAGCCUGAUGCAGCGACGCCGCGUGAGGGAUGACGGCCUUCGGGUUGUAAACCUCUUUCAGCUCCGAAGAAGCGAAAGUGACGGUAGGAGCAGAAGAAGCACCGGCUAACUACGUG